Poeciliopsis prolifica (blackstripe livebearer) is the source of this 382-nucleotide long non-coding RNA. RefSeq lists it as uncharacterized. The transcript has 2 exons. Lineage: Eukaryota; Metazoa; Chordata; Actinopteri; Cyprinodontiformes; Poeciliidae. The record is from RefSeq and is a predicted model, not a curated record.
UUCACCAGGAGGACGAUCCCGUCAAACUGCUAGGUGACCGUGUGUCUGCCGGACAUGACUUGGCCAACGGGCGCUUGCUGCUAUGGUUGAGCUGACACACACUUUUACACAUAUGUUGGCGAUGUUUUUAUGCAAAAGAGGCGUUCAGGGUGUCCUGGCUGACGGAACAAAGUUUAUCCAAGAACUGGAGACAGGAAACCUGCGACCGGUGCCAGAGAGUCGUCUGUGGAAACAUAAAACUCAGAGCGAGACAGACACACGGAGAGGGUGACGGGUUAAUGCAGUCUGACAGAGGACCACUGCUGAUGUCCAGCUACUAAUGUACUAGCUCAACUACCACGAUGAACCAUGAAUAAAGAAAGAAGAAAACUUUGCAAACCAA